ACUCCUACGGGAGGCAGCAGUGGGGAAUUUUGGACAAUGGGCGCAAGCCUGAUCCAGCAAUGCCGCGUGCAGGAUGAAGGCCUUCGGGUUGUAAACUGCUUUUGUACGGAACGAAAAGCCCUGGGUUAAUACCCUGGGGUCAUGACGGUACCGUAAGAAUAAGCACCGGCUAACUACNG
RNAcentral lists this ribosomal RNA (179 nucleotides) under uncultured beta proteobacterium. RNAcentral's name for it is "partial 16S ribosomal RNA". It matches the Rfam family "Bacterial small subunit ribosomal RNA", at positions 335 to 506 of the family's 1533-position model. The record is from RNAcentral. Lineage: Bacteria; Pseudomonadati; Pseudomonadota; Betaproteobacteria.